RNAcentral lists this ribosomal RNA (503 nucleotides) under uncultured bacterium. RNAcentral describes it as "partial 16S ribosomal RNA". It matches the Rfam family "Bacterial small subunit ribosomal RNA", at positions 29 to 523 of the family's 1533-position model. The record is from RNAcentral.
AACGAACGCUGGCGGCACGUUUUAAGCAUGCAAGUCGAAUGGCAGCAGGGGCAACUCUGUGAGAAUGGCGAACGGGUGAGUAACACGUAGGUGAUCUGCCUUGGGGAUGGGGAUAGCCUGUGGAAACACAGGGUAAUACCGAAUAAGCUGACGGGACUUUGGUUUUGUUAGUAAAGGUGCUACGGCACCGCCUUGAGAGGAGCCUGCGGCUGAUUAGCUAGUUGGUGGGGUAAAGGCCUACCAAGGCGACGAUCAGUAGCCGGCCUGAGAGGGUGUACGGCCACACUGGGACUGAGACACGGCCCAGACUCCUACGGGAGGCAGCAGCUAAGAAUCUUCCGCAAUGGGCGGAAGCCUGACGGAGCGAUGCCGCGUGAUCGAUGAAGGUCGAGAGAUUGUAAAGAUCUUUUCUACAUGAGGAAUAAGUCUGGGAGGGAAUGCCUGGAUGAUGACGUUAGUGUAGGAAUAAGCCCCGGCUAAUUACGUGCCAGCCGCCGCGGUAA